Molecule: ribosomal RNA, 329 nt
Filed under: Gomphus vulgatissimus (common clubtail)
Lineage: Eukaryota; Metazoa; Arthropoda; Insecta; Odonata; Gomphidae
Description: partial 12S ribosomal RNA
Source: RNAcentral
UAGUAAUAGUUAUGUUCUUGAAACCCAAAGAAUUUGGCGGUAUUUUAGUCCUUUCAGAGGAAUCUGUCCCGUGAUCGACAGUCCACGAGAUAUUGUACUUAUUUUUGUUUUUCAGUUUGUAUACCUCCGUCAUAAGAAGAUCUUUUUAGAGAUGAAAUUUUCUUAAUAUAUUAAGUAUAGUAUGUCAGGUCAAGGUGCAAUUUAUGAAUAAGUGGAGAUGGAUUACAAUAAAUUUAUUUAAAUGGAUUAGAUUAUUGAUUUUUUUUAUGAAGGUGGAUUUGAUAGUAAUUUUAAUUAUUUGUUAUUAUGAUUUUGGCUCUAAAAUAUGC